RNAcentral lists this transfer RNA (66 nucleotides) under uncultured Prevotella sp. It matches the Rfam family "tRNA". Rfam says of the family: Transfer RNA (tRNA) molecules are approximately 80 nucleotides in length. Lineage: Bacteria; Pseudomonadati; Bacteroidota; Bacteroidia; Bacteroidales; Prevotellaceae. The record is from RNAcentral.
GGCGUAGCGCAGUUGGUAGCGCACCUGGUUUGGGACCAGGAUGUCGCAGGUUCGAGUCCUGUCGCC